Fopius arisanus is the source of this 1803-nucleotide long non-coding RNA. RefSeq lists it as uncharacterized. The transcript has 2 exons. The record is from RefSeq and is a predicted model, not a curated record. Lineage: Eukaryota; Metazoa; Arthropoda; Insecta; Hymenoptera; Braconidae.
UUGCUAAUUGCAUCAACCAUCUUGUAAAACGGAAAUAAUUAUUGCGCCAUCGAUUAUUUAUAAUGAGCCCCUGAAAAGCCACGAGUAUCCAGAAACGGGUGAUAAAUGCAUGCAUGAGGAAAGGAAUUCGACGAUAAGUCUGGAGGGAUGAGGAAUACAAGGUAACACCUAAAUCGGGGAUUCCCAUUAAAUUUAAUCUGCACCAGUGGAUCAAAAUAUCAGCGCAGAGUCCUAUUCGAUUUGUAUAAAAAUAUACAAAUUAUCUUAAAAAAUUCUGCAACGUAAUCACCGCACAAGUUAUUGAAAGAAAACGCUCAGUUAUACCCAGAUUUAUUUCACACCUCUGUCCUGCCACACGUCAGCGUUUCACCAGAAAUUUAUUUAAUCAUGUACAAUAACACUUCAUGGUUCAUCAACUCAAGACGAAUUUGUUGAUUUUAGGGCAAGAUGUUCCCCCUGCGAGUGCCUAUCACCAUAAUUUAUCAAUGUUCAACAAAAUAAGGGACACUUAUCACCUCGAAACGAUUGUAAUUGAACAAAUACAUCAUUACUUUUCACUCGAUAGAUGCAAUGAUAAAUUUUCAUGCCCCAAUGAAAAAUAAAACCUGGAUAUUUCAGAAAGAUUACCUAUCGCGUACAACUCCCCAUUUGUUUGUUCAAUUCCAACCGUCCGAGCAAAAUUAUCUUGACGAACGUGAUAAAUGUCGUGAGCUCCCCUUUUUUUUUAAAUCCAUCACUCGAAUCACGGAAGUAUAGUUGAUUAAAUGGAACGACGAAUUCAAGAGAAUAAAAAAAGGAGAAAAAAACCACAAUAAUAAUUAACAGUAGAAAUCAAUGAUGAUGUGUGUUGAAAACAAUUGCAUGCGAUACGCGUGUAUUGAAUUUUUUUUUGUCAAUUUUUUUUUAUUUAAUUGUAAAGUACCUAGGUUCCUCUCUUUCGCGUAUGAUUAUACCAUUCUUGAUGAAUCUUACAUGUAUACGUUUUUUUUUUAACUUUCUUAUUAAUGCAUUUUUUUGUUUUUCUUUUUCUUCGUGUUUAUGUAUAAAUAUGUAUUGUUAAGCCGCGCAAAGCCCGUUUGUUUAGAGUCCUUAUUCAGCAACAAACAGACGUUUGCAUCUGGCAUUACGCCCUCACACACAUUACCCACACACUCACAAAAUAUUCCAUUCAUCCAUUACCAAUUUAUUCAGUUGUCUCAUUCCAAAACUCACUCUUCCAGAAUUUUUUCUUUAUCCAAGUAAAUAAAAGAGUCGAGUUUCACACGUUUUAAUCAAUUAUUUAUCUCCAUUACUUUAAUAGUUAAAAGCUAAACCCUAAAGCUGCACUCUUGUUUUAUUUUAUAUCAUUCACCUAGGUGUAUUGUACAAAUAACUAGCAUUCAAUGCGUCUGUCUCAUGACAAUUAUUUGCUAAAAACCAUUACAUUCGUGACAUCGUGUAUAAAACUCUAUCGGAGUACAUGGUUACAUUGUUAUAUAUAUAAUUCUUUUUAUUUAUCCAAUAAUAGUAGUUAUCACUUUUUUUUUUGCUCUCUAGGCCACACAAUAACUGAUGCCAUUUCAUUUGUGGUUUAUUCGUUUAUUAUAACUUGAUCUCAUUGAAUUUUUCAUGGUUUUUACUUAAUGGAUACCGACUAAACGUGAUUUUUAAAGUGUCUGUUUUGUUAAUCGGGCGGGGCCCGAGAGGCCAGUUGGGUUCAUCCUCACUAGGCCGUUCAAUCCUCCCCCUGGUUUUUCCAUCGUAUUUAUACAUGCUCCACGUCACGCCCAACGUCGGGGCCUUCGUCACAUUGUUAAAAUGAGA